RNAcentral lists this ribosomal RNA (274 nucleotides) under uncultured bacterium. RNAcentral's name for it is "partial 16S ribosomal RNA". It matches the Rfam family "Bacterial small subunit ribosomal RNA", at positions 523 to 796 of the family's 1533-position model. The record is from RNAcentral.
AUACGGAGGGUGCAAGCGUUACUCGGAAUCACUGGGCGUAAAGCGCGCGCAGGCGGCCUGAUAAGUUGGAUGUGAAAGCCUACGGCUCAACCGUAGAACUGCAUCCAAAACUGUCAGGCUAGAGUGUGGGAGAGGAAGAUGGAAUUAGUUGUGUAGGGGUAAAAUCCGUAGAGAUAACUAGGAAUACCAAAAGCGAAGGCGAUCUUCUGGAACAGUACUGACGCUGAGGCGCGAAAGCGUGGGGAGCAAACAGGAUUAGAUACCCCAGUAGUCC